Phymastichus coffea is the source of this 3676-nucleotide long non-coding RNA. RefSeq lists it as uncharacterized. Lineage: Eukaryota; Metazoa; Arthropoda; Insecta; Hymenoptera; Eulophidae. The transcript has 4 exons. The record is from RefSeq and is a predicted model, not a curated record.
GCUCAAUGGGUAGCGCCAUUCUUAUUCCAGCAGUCUCGUGGCAAAGAUUAGUGAGGAGUGCAUCCCCAAAGAGAAAGAGAAAAACUAUGCUUUUUCCGUGCACAUCACUUUCUCGAGCUGCUUUCUCUCCUGAGGUGCGCAUGGCAAUCACUCAACGACGUAAUUGCGUUUUAGUAAAUUCUGCUGCAAGGUGUCGAACAAUAAUUAUAUUUGAUUAAACUUGAUGAAACCCGGUAAUGGCAACGCUACGCAACUACGUCAUGACGCCGCUUGUGCAUUCAAACAAUGGCGUCUGGGAAAUUCUUUGUCAUUCGAAUGUGAGAAAGGUACUGCAUACCCUAAGCCUCAGCAACGGCGAUAUUACUGAACGAAAGGAAACAAUAGCAGUUUUACGAAGCUCCCAAGCUUACUGCAGAAAAUAUCAUUGAGUCGAUAAGAUGAGUAUUUUUUACUUUCUAUUUUUUAAUAUUCAACAAAGACAUAAUCUUAAAAGCAUGUUAACUCUGUGACAUGUAAGUUUUAUUGUUUCAUUGAAUGCCUUUAGAUAAAUGUGUUAAUGAUAUAUUGAUUAUAUCGUUACUAUAUUUAUAUUAUAUGAUUAUAGCAUUAAUGACUAAUGUUGCAUUUUGAAAAAUAUUUUACUAUAAGAAAAUAUGUUAAGAUUAUGUCUAAUUAAUUUUUUUAACAGGGUUCUUUGUACAAUUAAAAAGAUAAAGUUAGUAAAUUUUAUAUGCAUAAGAGUUUGCUACAAUAUCUAAUAUUGUGUAAUUGUCAUCAUCAAUUAUUGCUUUAUUAAGUUAUCAUAAUAAAAUAGUAAAUUAAUAAGUCUAUACCAUAUUUUUGAGUAUGCAAGUUACAUUUAGCUAAUACAAAUUUUCUAUAUAUACUUAAGCAAAUUUUAAUUAUACUUAAAUUGUUAUUUUUAGUUGCUAUGAAUGUUGAAAAAUACAAAAUGACUACAAACACAGUAUCUGGAACAAAUGAGCUUUGAUACUAAAUACUUAUUUUAUGAUAGCUUUCAUAUUAACCAAUAAAUACCCAUUUUGAAAAAUGUAUCCAUGUAUUUCCCUCCAUUUCCAAUUGUUUAUAAAAAAGUAUUUAGACAAAUUAACAUGUUAGAAUAUCAAAAAACUAAUUGCAGUGAUCAAUUUUAUAAGAAAAAUGAGGAAGAAAAUCUCUGGUAUCUUUUUAUCAUGUCAUUUUUUUGUCAUAAGAUCACUAUACAUAAUUAGAAAUUUUCAAAUUUUGUUAUUUAGAAAAACCAAUUAUGCCAAUUAAAAAAUCAAAAUACAAACUUCUAUGGUGUAUUUUUUUGUCAGGCUGUUUGAUGUAAAAACAUACCAACAAUCUGAAGUAGUGAAGCCAGUGAUAUUUGUCGAUUGGCAUCAUUUGUUUUUCAAAAUAAAAUUUGUUUGAUAAUCCUCAAUUGUUUAAAACGAUUUUACAUUAAUAAAAUGGUGUCUGAUGAAAACACUCUAAAUAGAUUUGCUGUUUGUUAUUUUUGUAGAAUUUAUUGAUGCAAUAAAUUACUGACAUUUUGAAUAAUAGGUUUAAAUACAAUUUUAUAAACAUGUAAAAAUAGAAUAAGGAAAAACAUGGAUACUUUUUUUAUUGAUGGCACUGAUGGUAUAGCUAGUUUGAAGUUGUCUAGUCCAGAUUCAGAUUGGGUAUUAUAGUAUCAAACAUUUCCAUGUAACAUUAAAUUGCUUAUCGUUUGCAACAUUUUGGUGUACAUUUUCAAAUAGAUUGCAUUUCAAAACUUUGUGCUAAUUACUUUAAUAUCUUUAAAAAAUAAUUAUAUACUAAAUUUUACAUAACAAUUUUGAUGACUUAUAACUUCUAAGGAGACUGUCUAGUGGGUGAGCACUUUGCAUGCAAUAGUUAUUUCAUACGUGAAAAUGGUGUCCUUAGCAAACUUUUGAUAAAUAAACAUAAAGAUUUACCAUCUUGAAAUGCUCGCUCCUUUCCACUUGAAUAUAAUAAACUCUUGUCUGUGUAUAAAUAACUCUUUGGUUUUAUACAUUUUUUAGGUUUUAAUUUUAUUGUUGAUUUCUUUAUAAUCUUUGGAUUUACUUAUAACGUUAGUCUUUGAUGUUGGAAUUUGGUAUACAUAAUUAAGACAUAUUAUCAUCAAGAUUUUUUCUGUCUUCUAUGCAAUCUUGAUAGCAAAUAAUAUGACAGAUAGAAGAUUGGGUUCUUUGAUUUCGUUACCUAAUUGCAGAUAAUAGAGUUGGAUGUUUAAAUUAAAUUAAAUGAAAAUAAUGGUUAACUAUCUCAUUUGGUUAAUCAUAAAUUUGUGAAAGAGCUAGUGUAUGUCUGUGCAUAUACACUUAUCUAUCCGCGAUUGGUCUUGUGUUCAUUACUUGAAUACGUCCUGAAUUUGAAUUGGCCUCAUACUUGAUGUGAAAUAUAACAGUAAAAAGUCAAUCUUUUCUACCAAAUUUACAAAAUUAAUUUUUUACGGGCAUUGGAACCUCAUAAAGAAGUUUUGACUUCAUAUCCUUUCAUCAAGAGUUAAGACAUGUAUGAUGAACGCACAAUUUUUUAUCAUAACUUCUUACUUUUAAUUUCUUAGAUAAUUUAUUUUCCAAUGAUUGUAAUGUAUUAAUAUGAAAAACGUUUAAUGUAUCGUCAAUCUUCUUGAUAUUGUUACUUAUUCAGAAUUUUGAAGUGACAAAAUUAAAAUAACAAUGGUUAGUUUUAUUUCCAGGUUGAUAAUAUGCAUUGGUUCUAACUAUUUUUUAAAAACUAAAAAAGUUGAUUCUAUUAAGAUAACGAAAAGAUUUAAUCGAUUGUUUCAUUUCACUCUCGUGCAAAUGCUAUUAAGCUGAGUAAGAUGCAAGACUGAUCAAUUUACAUUGGUAAAGGUGUUUUCAAAUAUUUUACUUAUUCCUAUAACCGAUUUCCAUUCUCAUUCUAAUGGUUUAAAUAUAAGAUAGAUCUUUUCUUGUAUAUUAUAGUUCAAUCGUUCGGUUACCGCGAUCUGACGCUAUAUAUUUUUCAUCAAAGCUUAUUGUACUCACACUAGUAACAUAGUCUGCCAAAGUCUGAAUCAGCUUAAUCUUAGUAUAUAAUGUUAUACUUUUGUUGUUACGGUCUUGCAGAAAGUUACAAGUACCUUAUUAUUGUAUUGAAGUUUGAAUAUGGAAUUUUUAUGGCAAUGCAAAAAUUUAAUCCGCUUUAUCGAAAAUAAAUUCCAUGGUCCGAUGAGCCCAACCUUGCCAUUAAAAAUUUUAAACACAAAAUGUAUUCAUUCAGCGCUGUUGGUGUCUUGGUAAUUAUACAUUCAUUCGGAUCCCAAAUGUUGAUUAUAUUACUGGUCACUAGAUUUUGAAAUUCCUUUUUUAGUAUACUAUUGUGAAUCAAAACUUUUUUGUUGUAAAUGCUGCUUUUAUACUUCAUUGUUUAUAUGCAUUUUUUAAAGAGAUAUAGCUUUUUAUGUACAAUCAUUUAUAAUACAACUAAAAUGUUUUGACGAUUUGAUUUGAUCUGUAUUUUAGAUGUAAUUUAGAAACUCUAUUAUCGCAGAAGAAAACAAAAAAUAAUAAUAGACAAAAAAAAAUAAUAGACAAAAAAAAUAAUAGACAAAAAAAAAUAAUAAAAAAACAAUAAUAAAAAACAAUAAUAAAAAAAAUAGUAUUGAAAAAAAAGGAAAGGAACAAAAAAAUGUAGAUUA